AGCCUCGGUAGCUCAGUGGUUAGAGCGUCAAGCUAGCAAUCUGGGGCUCGCGGGUUCGAUUCUCCGCCUUUAAAGUUA
Molecule: non-coding RNA, 78 nt
Organism: Acanthoscelides obtectus
Lineage: Eukaryota; Metazoa; Arthropoda; Insecta; Coleoptera; Chrysomelidae
Source: the annotation of a GenBank genome assembly